UUCUAUUAGAACUUAUCAAUAGUAAAAUCUGCUCAAUGAUUUUUAAAUAGCCGCUAAAAGUGCUAAGGUAGCAUAAUCAUUUGCCUUUUAAUUGAAGGCUAGAACAAAAGAUUCAACAAUUAAAUUAAUUUCUUAAAAUUAAAUUUUAACUUAUUUUAAAUGUAAAAAAACAUUUAUUCAAAAGAAAGACGACAAGACCCUAUUAAACUUAACUUUAGUUAAACUGGGGCAGUUAAUUAAUUAAUAUUUUAAUAUUUAAUAUGUUAAAAAUAUCCAAUAAAAUUGAUUAAAUCAGUUACUAUAGGGAUAACAGCGUAAUAAAUUUUUAAAGAUCAUAUACAAAAAUAAGAUUACGACCUCGAUGUUGAAUAAUUAUCUUAUUUUCGCAAAAGAAAAUAAAGAAAGUCUGUUCGACUUGUAAAAAAUUACA
RNAcentral lists this ribosomal RNA (430 nucleotides) under Holcolaetis xerampelina. RNAcentral describes it as "partial 16S ribosomal RNA". The record is from RNAcentral. Lineage: Eukaryota; Metazoa; Arthropoda; Arachnida; Araneae; Salticidae.